This 432-nucleotide ribosomal RNA is filed under the name Nitrospina sp. SCGC AAA001-J21. RNAcentral describes it as "SSU rRNA". It matches the Rfam family "Bacterial small subunit ribosomal RNA", at positions 514 to 1384 of the family's 1533-position model. Lineage: Bacteria; Pseudomonadati; Nitrospinota; Nitrospinia; Nitrospinales; Nitrospinaceae. The record is from RNAcentral.
GCCGCGGUAAUACGGAGGGGGCAAGCGUUGUUCGGAAUUAUUGGGCGUAAAGCGUAUGUAGGCGGCUAAAUAAGUCAGGCGUGCAAGCCCGUGGCUCAACCACGGAAUUGCGUUUGAAACUGUUUAGCUUGAGUACAGGAGAGGAAAGCGGAAUUCCCAGUGUAGCGGUGAAAUGCAUUGAUAUUGGGAAGAACAUCUGUGGCGAAGGCGGCUUUCUGGUCUGUUACUGACGCUGAGAUACGAAAGCCAGGGUAGCGAACGGGAUUAGAUACCCCGGUAGUCCUGGCUGUAAACGAUGGGCACUAGGUGGAGGAGGUAUCGAUCCCCUCUCUGCCGUAGCUAACGCGUUAAGUGCCCCGCCUGGGGAGUACGGUCGCAAGGCUGAAACUCAAAGGAAUUGGCGGGGGAGCACGGUCAUACUUUGUUUCCUGA